GAUGAACGCUGGCGGCGUGCCUAACACAUGCAAGUCGAGCGAUCUUCUUCGGAAGGGAGCGGCGGACGGGUGAGUAACGCGUGGGUAACCUGCCCUGUACACACGGAUAACAUACCGAAAGGUAUGCUAAUACGGGAUAACAUAAGAAAGUCGCAUGGCUUUCUUAUCAAAGCUUUUGCGGUACAGGAUGGACCCGCGUCUGAUUAGCUAGUUGGUAAGGUAACGGCUUACCAAGGCGACGAUCAGUAGCCGACCUGAGAGGGUGAUCGGCCACAUUGGAACUGAGACACGGUCCAAACUCCUACGGGAGGCAGCAGUGGGGAAUAUUGCACAAUGGGCGAAAGCCUGAUGCAGCAACGCCGCGUGAGCGAUGAAGGCCUUCGGGUCGUAAAGCUCUGUCCUCAAGGAAGAUAAUGACGGUACUUGAGGAGGAAGCCCCGGCUAACUACGUGCCAGCAGCCGCGGUAAUACGUAGGGGGCUAGCGUUAUCCGGAAUUACUGGGCGUAAAGGGUGCGUAGGCGGUCUUUCAAGUCAGAAGUGAAAGGCUACGGCUCAACCGUAGUAAGCUUUUGAAACUGUAAGACUUGAGUGCAGGAGAGGAGAGUGGAAUUCCUAGUGUAGCGGUGAAAUGCGUAGAUAUUAGGAGGAACACCAGUUGCGAAGGCGGCUCUCUGGACU
Molecule: ribosomal RNA, 679 nt
Filed under: uncultured Clostridium sp.
Lineage: Bacteria; Bacillati; Bacillota; Clostridia; Eubacteriales; Clostridiaceae
Description: bacterial SSU rRNA
Rfam family: Bacterial small subunit ribosomal RNA
Source: RNAcentral